AACGAACGCUGGUGGCGUGUCUUAUACAUGCAAGUCGAGCGAGGCAGCAAUGCCGAGCGGCGAACGGGUGAGUAACGCGUAAGCAAUCUGCCCCAUAUCAGGAAAUACCCGUGCCAACGUGCGGUUAAUGUCCAGGAGAGUGGCCCUCUGCAUGGAGGGUUGACUAGAGAUUUAUCGGUAUGGGAUGAGCUUGCGUCCGAUUAGCUAGUUGGCGGGGCAACGGCCCACCAAGGCGACGAUCGGUAGCCGGCCUGAGAGGGUGAUCGGCCACAUUGGGACUGAGAUACGGCCCAGACUCCUACGGGAGGCAGCAGUAGGGAAUAUUGCACAAUGGGGGGAAACCCUGAUGCAGCAACGCCACGUGUGGGAAGAAGCAUUUCGGUGUGUAAACCACUGUCAUGAGGGAAUAAGGCCCGCCUUCGGACGGGAUUGAAUGUACCUUGAGAGGAAGCACCGGCAAACUUCGUGCCAGCCGCGGC
RNAcentral lists this ribosomal RNA (479 nucleotides) under uncultured bacterium. RNAcentral describes it as "bacterial SSU rRNA". It matches the Rfam family "Bacterial small subunit ribosomal RNA", at positions 29 to 518 of the family's 1533-position model. The record is from RNAcentral.